Small nucleolar RNA from Perognathus longimembris pacificus (Pacific pocket mouse), 72 nucleotides. RefSeq annotates it as small nucleolar RNA SNORA81. The transcript has a single exon. NCBI's taxonomy places the organism in Eukaryota, Metazoa, Chordata, Mammalia, Rodentia, Heteromyidae. The record is from RefSeq and is a predicted model, not a curated record.
UGCACUAGAUCCUAGAGACUGGGUGGACCUCUUUCUUAAUGUCCAGUGUCCUUUGUCUUAAGAUUUGGUGCA